Bufo bufo (common toad) is the source of this 146-nucleotide long non-coding RNA. RefSeq lists it as uncharacterized. The transcript has 3 exons. The record is from RefSeq and is a predicted model, not a curated record. NCBI's taxonomy places the organism in Eukaryota, Metazoa, Chordata, Amphibia, Anura, Bufonidae.
UGGAUAUGGCAGUAGCAGUAGCAGCAGGAGGAUACCACAGUGUGGCAAGGUGACAUAAUGUGGAUAUGGCAGCAGCAUCAUCAGACCACAGAGUGGCAAGGUGACAUAAUGUUGAUAAGGCAGCAGAAGUAGCAGAAGGAGGAUAC